Molecule: ribosomal RNA, 1402 nt
Filed under: uncultured bacterium
Lineage: Bacteria
Description: bacterial SSU rRNA
Rfam family: Bacterial small subunit ribosomal RNA
Source: RNAcentral
AGAGUUUGAUCCUGGCUCAGGAUGAACUUUGGCGGCGUGCCUAACACAUGCAAGUCGAACGGACUUAUAACGAAACCUAGUGAAUUAUAAGUUAGUGGCGGACGGGUGAGUAACGCGUGGAAAACCUGCCGUAUACUGGGGGAUAACACUUAGAAAUAGGUGCUAAUACCGCAUAAGCGCACAGCUUCGCAUGAAGCAGUGUGAAAAACUCCGGUGGUAUACGAUGGUUCCGCGUCUGAUUAGCUGGUUGGCGGGGUAAAAGCCCACCAAGGCAACGAUCAGUAGCCGGCCUGAGAGGGUGAACGGCCACAUUGGGACUGAGACACGGCCCAGACUCCUACGGGAGGCAGCAGUGGGGGAUAUUGCACAAUGGGGGAAACCCUGAUGCAGCGACGCCGCGUGAGUGAAGAAGUAUUUCAAUAUGUAAAGCUCUAUCAGCAGGGAAGAAAAAAAGUCCACAGGACUUUGGACGGUACCUGACUAAGAAGCCCCGGCUUAACUACGUGCCAGCAGCCGCGGUAAUUCGUAGGGGGCAAGCGUUAUCUGGAUUUACUUGGUGUAAAGGGAGAGUCGACGGCUGUGCAAGUUUGAAGUGAAAUUCCGGGGCUUAACCCCGGAACUGCUUUGGAAACUGUACAGAUAGAGUGCAGGAGGGGUGAGCGGAAUUCCUAGUGUAGCGGUGAAAUGCGUAGAUAUUAGGAAGAACACCGGUGGCGAAGGCGGCUCCCUGGACUGUAACUGACGUUGAGGCUCGAAAGCGUGGGGAGCCCCCAAAAGUAGGUACCCUGGUAGUCCACCCGGUAACCGAUGAUUACUAGGUGUCCGGGGGGCCAAGGCCUUUAGGUGCCGGCGCAAAACGCAUUUAAGUGAUCCACCUGGGGAGUAGGUUCGCAAGAAUGAAACUCAAAGGGAUUGACGGGGACCCGCACAAGCGGUGGAGCAUGUGGUUUAAUCCGAAGCAACGCGAAGAACCUUACCCGGCCUUGACAUCCCGAUGAAUGUACAGUAAUGUGUACAGGACUUCGGUACAUCGGAGACAGGUGGUGCAUGGUUGUCGUCAGCUCGUGUCGUGAGAUGUUGGGUUAAGUCCCGCAACGAGCGCAACCCCUGCUCUCAGUAGCCAGCAGGUAAAGCUGGGAACUCUGAGGGGACUGCCCGGGAUAACCGGGAGGAAGGCGGGGAUGACGUCAAAUCAUCAUGCCCCUUAUGGCCGGGGCUACACACGUGCUACAAUGGCGGAAACAGAGGGAGGCAGCCCCGUGAGGGUGAGCGAACCCCAAAAAUACCGCCUCAGUUCGGAUUGUAGUCUGCAACCCGACUACAUGAAGCCGGAAUCGCUAGUAAUCGCGAAUCAGAAUGUCGCGGUGAAUACGUUCCCGGGUCUUGCACACACAGCCCGUCA